GUAGGUGGCAAGCGUUGUCCGGAAUUAUUGGGGCGUAAAGCGCGCGCAGGCGGUUCUUUAAGUCUGAUGUGAAAGCCCACGGGCUCAACCGUGGAGGGUCAUUGGAAACUGGAGAACUUGAGUACAGAAGAGGAAAGCGGAAUUCCACGCGUAGCGGUGAAAUGCGUAGAGAUGUGGAGGAACACCAGUGGCGAAGGCGGCUUUCUGGUCUGUAACUGACGCUGAGGCGCGAAAGCGUGGGGAGCAAACAGGAUUAGAUACCCUGGUAGUCCACGCCGUAAACGAUGAGUGCUAAGUGUUAGGGGGUUUCCGCCCCUUAGUGCUGCAGCUAACGCAUUAAGCACUCCGCCUGGGGAGUACGGCCGCAAAGGCUG
Molecule: ribosomal RNA, 374 nt
Filed under: uncultured organism
Description: partial 16S ribosomal RNA
Rfam family: Bacterial small subunit ribosomal RNA
Source: RNAcentral